UACGUAGGGGCAAGCGUUGUCCGGAUUCAUUGGGCGUAAAGAGCGUGUAGGCGGCCAGGUAGGUCGGUUGUGAAAACUGGAGGCUCAACCUUCAGAGGUCGACCGAAACCAUCUGGCUAGAGUCCGGGAGAGGAGAGUGGGAAUUCCUGGUGUAGAGGUGGAAAUUCGUAGAUAUUGGGAAGAACACCAGUGGCGAAGGCGGCUGCACUGGCCCGUAACU
RNAcentral lists this ribosomal RNA (220 nucleotides) under uncultured bacterium. Its description in RNAcentral is "partial 16S ribosomal RNA". It matches the Rfam family "Bacterial small subunit ribosomal RNA", at positions 524 to 741 of the family's 1533-position model. The record is from RNAcentral.